AAUUCAUAGCGGAGAAAGAACCAACAGGGAUUACCUCAGUAACGGCGAGUGAAGCGGUAACAGCUCAAAUUUGAAAUCUGGCUCUUUCAGGGUCCGAGUUGUAAUUUGUAGAAGAUGCUUUGGGUGUGGCCCCGGUCUAAGUUCCUUGGAACAGGACGUCAUAGAGGGUGAGAAUCCCGUAUGUGACUGGGUGCUUUCGCCCGUGUAAAGCUCUUUCGACGAGUCGAGUUGUUUGGGAAUGCAGCUCAAAAUGGGUGGUAAAUUUCAUCUAAAGCUAAAUAUUGGCCAGAGACCGAUAGCGCACAAGUAGAGUGAUCGAAAGAUGAAAAGCACUUUGGAAAGAGAGUUAAACAGUACGUGAAAUUGUUGAAAGGGAAGCGCUUGCAACCAGACUCGCAUGCCGCUGAUCAUCCGGGGUUCUCCCCGGUGCACUCGGUGGUCUACGGGCCAGCAUCGGUUUGGGUGGCGGGAUAAAGGCUGUGGGAAUGUAGCUUCUCUCGGGGAGUGUUAUAGCCCACGGUGCAAUGCCGCCUACCUGGACCGAGGACCGCGCUUCGGCUAGGAUGCUGGCGUAAUGGUUGUAAGCGACCCGUCUUGAAACACGGACCAAGGAGUCUAACAUCUAUGCGAGUAUUUGGGUGUUAAACCCAUAUGCGUAAUGAAAGUGAACGGAGGUAAGAACCCUUUAGGGUGCAUUAUCGACCGAUCCUGAUGUCUUCGGAUGGAUUUGAGUAAGAGCAUAGCUGUUGGGACCCGAAAGAUGGUGAACUAUGCCUAAAUAGGGUGAAGCCAGAGGAAACUCUGGUGGAGGCUCGCAGCGGUUCUGACGUGCAAAUCGAUCGUCAAAUUUGGGUAUAGGGGCGAAAGACAAUCGACA
Molecule: ribosomal RNA, 877 nt
Filed under: Proliferodiscus chiangraiensis
Lineage: Eukaryota; Fungi; Ascomycota; Leotiomycetes; Helotiales; Lachnaceae
Description: partial large subunit ribosomal RNA
Rfam family: Eukaryotic large subunit ribosomal RNA
Source: RNAcentral